RNAcentral lists this ribosomal RNA (305 nucleotides) under Escherichia coli. RNAcentral describes it as "partial 23S ribosomal RNA". It matches the Rfam family "Bacterial large subunit ribosomal RNA", at positions 1 to 310 of the family's 2925-position model. The record is from RNAcentral. Lineage: Bacteria; Pseudomonadati; Pseudomonadota; Gammaproteobacteria; Enterobacterales; Enterobacteriaceae.
GGUUAAGCGACUAAGCGUACACGGUGGAUGCCCUGGCAGUCAGAGGCGAUGAAGGACGUGCUAAUCUGCGAUAAGCGUCGGUGAGGUGAUAUGAACCGUUAUAACCGGCGAUUUCCGAAUGGGGAAACCCAGUGUGUUUCGACACACUAUCAUUAACUGAAUCCAUAGGUUAAUGAGGCGAACCGGGGGAACUGAAACAUCUAAGUACCCCGAGGAAAAGAAAUCAACCGAGAUUCCCCCAGUAGCGGCGAGCGAACGGGGAGGAGCCCAGAGCCUGAAUCAGUGUGUGUGUUAGUGGAAGCGUC